UUUCCGGUUGAUCCUGCCAGAGGCUACUGCCAUCAGAGUUCGAUUAAGCCAUGUUAGUCGAGGGUACCUCUUCUUCUUCGGAGGAUGAGGUAACCCGGCGGACGGCUCAGUAACACGUGGAUAACUUGCCCUUGGGUCUGGGAUAACCCCUGGGAAACUGGGGCUAAUACCGGAUAGAGCAUCGAUCGCUGGAAUGCCUGAUGUUCGAAAACUACGGUGCCCAAGGAUAGGUCUGCGGCUGAUUAGGUUGUUGUUGAUGUAAUGGACCAACAAGCCUACGAUCGGUACGGGUUGUGAGAGCAAUAGCCCGGAGAUGGGUUCUGAGAAAAGAACCCAGGUCCUACGGGACGCAUCAGGCGCGAAAACUUUACAAUGUGCGAAAGCACGAUAAGGGAACUCUGAGUGCCCCCUAAGGGGGCUGUUCUAGUGUCUAAAAAGCAAUAGAAGUAAGGGCUGGGCAAGACCGGUGCCAGCCGCCGCGGUAACACCGGCAGCCCAAGUGGUAGCCACGUUUAUUGGGUCUAAAGCGUUCGUAGCCGGCUUGGUAAGUUCCUUGGUAAAUUUAGCCGCUUAACGGUUAAGCUUUCAGGGAAUACUGCUUGGCUUGGGACUGGGAGAGGUCAGAGGUACUCCAGGGGUAGGGGUGAAAUCCAUUAAUCCUUGGGGGACCACCGGUAGCGAAGGCGUCUGACCAGACCAGCUCCGACGGUGAGGGACGAAGGCUAGGGGCGCGAACCGGAUUAGAUACCCGGGUAGUCCUAGCUGUAAACGAUGCGGGCUAGGUGUUGGCAUUACUGCGAGUGGUGCCAGUGCCGAAGGGAAGCCGUUAACUCGCCAUCUGGGGAGUACGGUCGCAAGGCUUAAACUUAAAGGAAUGGCGGGGGAGCACCACAAGCAGAAUGG
RNAcentral lists this ribosomal RNA (903 nucleotides) under uncultured archaeon. RNAcentral describes it as "bacterial SSU rRNA". It matches the Rfam family "Archaeal small subunit ribosomal RNA", at positions 1 to 893 of the family's 1478-position model. The record is from RNAcentral.